Molecule: long non-coding RNA, 3743 nt
Filed under: Cricetulus griseus (Chinese hamster)
Lineage: Eukaryota; Metazoa; Chordata; Mammalia; Rodentia; Cricetidae
Description: lncRNA (ENSCGRG00015039441.1)
Source: RNAcentral
GCUGAGGCCACACAGUGAGGAAGAGUCAAGCUUCACUACAGAGGCUUGAACAGAAGUCAGGCUGGUGCCUGUAGAGCACUGGGCACUGUGUGGAAAUCUCACCUCCUUUCAACAGUUUUCUUCUCUAGUCAUCGUGUCUGUGUUCCUACCUGUAACCUCUUCCUGUGCCUACUUGGGUUUGGUUCUGGAGCCAUUGGCCUUGCCCAAGAUGUGUUCUUGGCUGCUCCUGUCCCUGUCAGGCCCUCUCUGUUUUUACCCUGUUCUUAAGAGUAUGUGGCUCACAUGGAAACACACAGUAUCCUAAUAGUUUGUUUUUUGUUGCUGUGAGAAAACACUGAUGAAAAGCAGCUUGAGGAGGAAAAUGGUUUAUUCCGUGAUGGGGAAAUCCUUGUGUGUAUAUGUUUAUCUUAUUGGUUGAUAAAUAAAGCAUUGUUGGCCAAUAGGGGAGCAAGUUAGGUGGGACUAGGAGUUGAGGAGGAUUCUGGGAAAUGUAGUAGAGACAGCAGCCACCACGUGAUCACCAGGAAGACAGGAUAUAUUCCACCAGCGUGCUCAAUAAGAUAAGUUUAUAAAAUAUAUAGAUUAAUAGUUAUGGGUGAUACUUAAGACAGAGUUAGCAAAUAAAUCUUUGUCAUUGGCCAGAGGCACUGUACCUAAUAUAAGACUCAGUGUGUUAUUCUGGACGCCCACGUGGCGGCGGGGCUCGGGUGACGUAGCAGAAAGAUUUAUCAUUACCAAAUGGUGUCAGGACAUGGUUUUAUGAACUUCCACAUAAAAACUUCACAAAAACUUAAAAAGGGAAUUUAGAAGCAAAGGAACAGAGACAAGCACUACUUCUUGGUAGUGGUAUUUUCUCGGGUAGUCUCUGUUUUGCUAGAGACAAGCAGAUACUCAAGUGGCUCCUUUAAGAGAGGCUUCCUGACUCAGCAUAAUUGGAAAAAAAAGAAAACAAAAACAAAAAACCACAGGGCUCUUGCUAACAAUUGAAUGGACAGGUUACUUGGGAGAAGAAUUUCUACUUACGUUUCCACAUAAAAUGGAAAGCUGUGGAUUCCUUCCAGACUAAUUUGGUUUGAUCAAGCAAGACCCCCUGAAGCAGUGGCCCAACCGAUCCUACAUCCAAAACAGCUGAGACGAUGCAGCCUUGCAGACUACAAAAACAAGGAACUGGCCUGAUUUCUGUGUUUUAUCAUGAUCCCCCAUGGUGUGGACAUCACCCCCAACCAGCAGGAAGCAGUUUGGAACGAACGAUGCCCAAGUUCCCAAAUAUUGUUUAUAAAUGUUUGUUUUCAUUUAAAUAGGGUUGGUUAUAAAUGGUAAUGAUCACAGUCAAUCUCUUUUUAAAGGAAAAAAGGGGAAUAGAAUAUAGAAAUGAAUACAUUGGUAUGGAUUUUCAUUUAUUGAUACAAAUUUAAGGUUAAUUUUGUUAUAUGUAAAUUUCUCCUCUUGUUUGGUAUUGUGUUUAUACAGAUCUUUUAAAAUGUAAUGUAUAAUUAAAUGCAAAUUAUAUAGUCACCUAUAAUAGUCAGAACUUAUAAUUAGGUUAGUUAGGUUUUCUAGCUAUAGAGAGAUGUGUUUGAGAUGGAUAGACAAAGACCUACAGAAUAUAUGGCAUUUAAAUGGUUUAGGGUUUUUCAUGGCAGUGAGACACAACUGCUCCUGGCACACCAAUUACAUCUGAGAGGAAGAUGGGCAUUGAAGAAACUCAUUAUGGAGUUUGCUUUCAAUGUGGCAAGAUUAGCCAUUUGGGCAAGAAACUGCUCUUGUCUGGACUGUUUGAUAAACUGGACAUGCAGGACCCACAGGAAAGUGACUGCUGAACUUAGAAAACAAGAUGGAAAGUUGUGAAGAGUCCCUGCUUCAAGGAAGCAUCUGCCAGACAUUCUGCAGGACACAGAGGAAAUUGGCUGACAAACUGCCAAUACAGGUGGACAGUUUAAAAUUUCCUGCUUCACUGAGAAGUCUGCCAGACAUACUGUGGCCUAUAGACUGAAGACAGGAUAAAUUCCAUCAGUGUGCCCCAACGUUACAAAGGAACUUCGGGUCACUGUCCAGGCAGCGAGAUAUCUCUGUCAGUUCUAGAGUUUAUUUAUUAUCCUUCUGUGGUCUUUGUUGGAGUUGAAGACAGAUAGUUAUGGUUAUAGUUUUCUUUAGUUAUUAUAAAAGAUAAGCUACAUAUAAGACUUUAGACUCACAAAGAUGGGAUAGAUGAUAGAAUAUUUUCUUUAAAUCUUGCUAAAUGUUAAUGGACUAAAUAUUGUAACUAUAGUUCUUACUUGAUAACUGUUUUGUUAUAUAUUUUACUAUGUUAAUGUUAACACCCUUCUUUUUACUUAGACAGAAAAGAGAAAAUUAUGGGGGAGGUCCUUGUGUGUAUAUGUUUGUCUUAUUGGUUGAUAAAUAAAGCACUGUUGGCCAAUAGGAGAGCAAGUUAGGUGGGACUAGGAGUUGAGGAGGAUUCUGGGAAAUGUAGUAGAGACAGCAGCCACCAUGUGAUCACCAGGAAGACAGGAUAUAUUCCACCAGUGUGCUCAAUAAAAUAAGUUUAUAAAAUAUAUAGAUUAAUAGUUAUGGGUGAUACUUAAGACAGAGCUAGCAAAUAGGAAAUCUUAGUCAUUGGCCAGUAGCAUUGUACCUAAUACAAGACUCUGUGUGUUAUUUUGGACACCCACAUGGCGGCAGGGCUUGGGCAGCUUGGCAGAAAGAUUUAUCAUUACAAUUCCGUCUUACAGCAUACUGUCCAUCAUCCAGGGAAGCUAAGGCAAACCCAGAGGCAAGAACAGAAGCAGAGGCCAUGGAGGAUAAUGCUCACUGGCUGCCUCAGCUUGUUCACUUAUACAAGCCAGGGCCACCUGCCAGGGGUCACACUAUCCACAUCAAUCAUUAAUCAAGAAAAUGCCCCCCUCAGACUUGCUCACUGGCCAAUCUGAUGGAGGCAACCCCUCAAGGAAGGGGUCCACUUUCCCAGGCAUCAGGUUGAAAAAACCAACCAGCACACACAGGCUAUCAAAUGCAUGGCUAAUUCUACAUGAGAAGUCCACCAACUAUAUGUUAAGAGUUGUCUUUGUCAUGGUCUGUGGUUUAGAGCACUUAAUUGCUCUUGCAGAGGGCCCAAGUUCGAGUCCCAGCACCCACAUGGUGGCUCAAAACUGUCUGCAACUCCAGUUCCAAGGGAUCCAGUGCCCUCCCCUGACCUCUGUGAGCAGCAGCUUGGUCCUUUCCUGCAGCCUUCCUGCCAGAGCACAUCCAUCAUCCGCAAACAUCUCAUCGCUCUCCCGCCACAGGAAGCGACCUGUGUCCUGUUGCCCCUCAGCCAAAGCACCUGCCAGGCUGCAUUAGGAGAGAGGCCAGCAUGGGACAUUUAGGAGAUUACUGAAGAUUGAACCCAGAGACCCAGCAGGGAUGAAGACUUUCCCUCUUCCUCCAGUGAACUUCAGGCCCAGAGCACUUAUAGCAGCUGAGGCUACAUUGUCAUCACCCAUCCUUCCAGACAGAUGAGGUGGCCUGCUGUGGAGAGCCACAGCCCUAAGAUGGCACUUGGCUGGAUGCCAGGAGCUUAGCUGUAAACAAGCCUUAUUUGGAAGUGCUUGAGGCAUCUGGCGCACUUCCUCCUUCUGUGGCCUAUCCGGGAUUGCCAGAUGGCAUGAGCUGACUGGGCACUGAGCAUCUACUUAAGGGCUUGCGGGGGCUGGGAGAAGAGAGAAGCUGAUGUACAAGGUUCCUGAAUAAACGGCUUGAAGAAG